CUCCACUGGUCAGCUGAUGAGAGAAGUUACAUUGUGGUUUGAGCAUAUGAAAUACAAAAUUACAAGCUUGGAACUCUUCUAAUAAUGGAAGCUGAAAGCUUUUCAAAAUUGCUGAAGGAACAUCACCCUCCCUCCUUAACAGUGUAAUGAAAAACAUGGAAAGCAACACAGGAAGCACAUUUGUGAAAGGGAAGCUGAAUUUUCAGGAAGUUGCUUGGAAAAGUGAAGGAUUUCCCUGACUUUUCAAUCACACGAGUUAUACCAGCUGUCUUAUGGAUCUUUGCUCCUGCAAGAAAAUG
Passer montanus (Eurasian tree sparrow) is the source of this 299-nucleotide long non-coding RNA. RefSeq lists it as uncharacterized. Lineage: Eukaryota; Metazoa; Chordata; Aves; Passeriformes; Passeridae. The transcript is spliced from 3 exons. The record is from RefSeq and is a predicted model, not a curated record.